Molecule: unclassified non-coding RNA, 304 nt
Filed under: plant metagenome
Description: partial contains 5.8S ribosomal RNA, internal transcribed spacer 2, and large subunit ribosomal RNA
Rfam family: 5.8S ribosomal RNA (bases 1-104)
Source: RNAcentral
AAAUGCGAUAAGUAGUGUGAAUUGCAGAAUUCAGUGAAUCAUCGAAUCUUUGAACGCACAUUGCGCCCUUUGGUAUUCCUUAGGGCAUGCCUGUUCGAGCGUCAUCUAAACCUUCAAGCCCUGCUUGGUGUUGGGUGCCUGUCCCGCCUCCGCGCGCGGACUCACCUCAAAUCCAUUGGCGGCCCCCGCGUCGGCCACGAGCGCAGCAGAAACACGAACUCGUGAGCCCGUCCGGGCGGCUCCCAGAAGCUACACCCACCCAGUUUGACCUCGGAUCAGGUAGGGAUACCCGCUGAACUUAAGC